This 377-nucleotide unclassified non-coding RNA is filed under the name uncultured delta proteobacterium. RNAcentral describes it as "contains 16S-23S intergenic spacer region". The record is from RNAcentral. Lineage: Bacteria; Deltaproteobacteria.
UCCGGUUUAACACCGGCGGUCCCUCUAGAGUGCUCAACUUAAUGGUCGCAACUAGAGGCAAGGGUUGCGCUCGUUGACGGACUUAACCGAACAUCCUACGACACGAGCUGACGACAGCCAUGCAGCACCUGUGUGCACGUCCCCGAAGGGAAAACUACAUCUCUGUAGUCGUCGUACCAUGUCAAACCCAGGUAAGGUUCUGCGCGUUGCGUCGAAUUGAACCACAUACUCCACCGCUUGUGCGGGCCCCCGUCAAUUUCUUUGAGUUUUAGUGUUGCCACCGUACUUCCCAGGCGGAAAACUUAAUGCGUUAGCUUUGGUACUCAGGGGGUUAAUGCCCCGAACACCUAGUUUUCAUCGUUUAAGGCAUGGACUAC